RNAcentral lists this ribosomal RNA (1381 nucleotides) under uncultured bacterium. RNAcentral describes it as "bacterial SSU rRNA". It matches the Rfam family "Bacterial small subunit ribosomal RNA", at positions 18 to 1394 of the family's 1533-position model. The record is from RNAcentral.
CCUGGCUCAGGAUGAACGCUAGCUACAGGCUUAACACAUGCAGGUCGAGGGGCAGCAUGGUCUUAGCUUGCUAAGGCCGAUGGCGACCGGCGCACGGGUGAGUAACACGUAUCCAACCUGCCGUCUACUCUUGGACAGCCUUCUGAAAGGAAGAUUAAUACAAGAUGGCAUCAUGAGUCCGCAUGUUCACAUGAUUAAAGGUAUUCCGGUAGACGAUGGGGAUGCGUUCCAUUAGAUAGUAGGCGGGGUAACGGCCCACCUAGUCUUCGAUGGAUAGGGGUUCUGAGAGGAAGGUCCCCCACAUUGGAACUGAGACACGGUCCAAACUCCUACGGGAGGCAGCAGUGAGGAAUAUUGGUCAAUGGGCGAGAGCCUGAACCAGCCAAGUAGCGUGAAGGAUGACUGCCCUAUGGGUUGUAAACUUCUUUUAUAAAGGAAUAAAGUCGGGUAUGGAUACCCGUUUGCAUGUACUUUAUGAAUAAGGAUCGGCUAACUCCGUGCCAGCAGCCGCGGUAAUACGGAGGAUCCGAGCGUUAUCCGGAUUUAUUGGGUUUAAAGGGAGCGUAGAUGGAUGUUUAAGUCAGUUGUGAAAGUUUGCGGCUCAACCGUAAAAUUGCAGUUGAUACUGGAUAUCUUGAGUGCAGUUGAGGCAGGCGGAAUUCGUGGUGUAGCGGUGAAAUGCUUAGAUACCACGAAGAACUCCGAUUGCGAAGGCAGCCUGCUAAGCUGCAACUGACAUUGAGGCUCGAAAGUGUGGGUAUCAAACAGGAUUAGAUACCCUGGUAGUCCACACGGUAAACGAUGAAUACUCGCUGUUUGCGAUAUACUGCAAGCGGCCAAGCGAAAGCGUUAAGUAUUCCACCUGGGGAGUACGCCGGCAACGGUGAAACUCAAAGGAAUUGACGGGGGCCCGCACAAGCGGAGGAACAUGUGGUUUAAUUCGAUGAUACGCGAGGAACCUUACCCGGGCUUAAAUUGCAGAUGAAUUACGGUGAAAGCCGUAAGCCGCAAGGCAUCUGUGAAGGUGCUGCAUGGUUGUCGUCAGCUCGUGCCGUGAGGUGUCGGCUUAAGUGCCAUAACGAGCGCAACCCUUGUUGUCAGUUACUAACAGGUUCCGCUGAGGACUCUGACAAGACUGCCAUCGUAAGAUGUGAGGAAGGUGGGGAUGACGUCAAAUCAGCACGGCCCUUACGUCCGGGGCUACACACGUGUUACAAUGGGGGGUACAGAGGGCCGCUACCACGCGAGUGGAUGCCAAUCCCCAAAACCUCUCUCAGUUCGGACUGGAGUCUGCAACCCGACUCCACGAAGCUGGAUUCGCUAGUAAUCGCGCAUCAGCCACGGCGCGGUGAAUACGUUCCCGGGCCUUGUACACACCGCC